RNAcentral lists this ribosomal RNA (303 nucleotides) under uncultured bacterium. Its description in RNAcentral is "partial 16S ribosomal RNA". It matches the Rfam family "Bacterial small subunit ribosomal RNA", at positions 507 to 808 of the family's 1533-position model. The record is from RNAcentral.
AGCAGCCGCCGCGGGAAUACGUAGGUCCCGAGCGUUGUCCGGAUUUAUUGGGCGUAAAGCGAGCGCAGGCGGUUAGAUAAGUCUGAAGUUAAAGGCUGUGGCUUAACCAUAGUACGCUUUGGAAACUGUUUAACUUGAGUGCAAGAGGGGAGAGUGGAAUUCCAUGUGUAGCGGUGAAAUGCGUAGAUAUAUGGAGGAACACCGGUGGCGAAAGCGGCUCUCUGGCUUGUAACUGACGCUGAGGCUCGAAAGCGUGGGGAGCAAACAGGAUUAGAUACCCGCGUAGUCCCUGUCUCUUAUACC